Molecule: long non-coding RNA, 202 nt
Filed under: Dasypus novemcinctus (nine-banded armadillo)
Lineage: Eukaryota; Metazoa; Chordata; Mammalia; Cingulata; Dasypodidae
Description: lncRNA (ENSDNOG00000050556.1)
Source: RNAcentral
CUGGGGGGAGGGACAGCGGAGUCCACGGCGCGAGUGCGCAGCGGAGCCCCGGGAACCCGCACCCCUCGGGAUCGGAAGCAAAACGUUGGUGUCCCGAAUAAAAUGCUGUCGUCUGCAAACUCAACUCUGAUUUGUCUUUUGACAAAGUUGGAGGCCUCAUCGAGGUAGAGAGGGUGCCCUCUGGGGCUGCGGGCUCCGGCGA